AAACUGGAGAAAGCAGAGACUGAUGAUGUACAGAGUGCUCGCUGCAGCAGCAGUAACACAAGACAGGAGGUCAUAAACAGUUUGAACAGCAGCAGGCAGGAACCCUAACCCAGAUGCAAUUACAGAUGUCUGUACAUCCUUGCUGUGUGAAGACGGGUGAAAAGAAGAAGUUACAGG
Long non-coding RNA from Morone saxatilis (striped sea-bass), 177 nucleotides. RefSeq lists it as uncharacterized. The transcript is spliced from 3 exons. The record is from RefSeq and is a predicted model, not a curated record. NCBI's taxonomy places the organism in Eukaryota, Metazoa, Chordata, Actinopteri, Moronidae.